AGAGUUUGAUCCUGGCUCAGGACGAACGCUGGCGGCGUGCUUAACACAUGCAAGUCGAGCGGAAAGGCCCUUCGGGGUACUCGAGCGGCGAACGGGUGAGUAACACGUGAGUAACCUGCCCCUGACUCUGGGAUAAGCCCGGGAAACUGGGUCUAAUACCGGAUAUGACACCUCCUCGCAUGGGGUGGGUGUGGAAAGUUUUUCGGUUGGGGAUGGACUCGCGGCCUAUCAGCUUGUUGGUGGGGUAAUGGCCUACCAAGGCGACGACGGGUAGCCGGCCUGAGAGGGCGACCGGCCACACUGGGACUGAGACACGGCCCAGACUCCUACGGGAGGCAGCAGUGGGGAAUAUUGCGCAAUGGGCGAAAGCCUGACGCAGCGACGCCGCGUGGGGGAUGACGGCCUUCGGGUUGUAAACCUCUUUCAGCAGGGACGAAGUUGACGUGUACCUGCAGAAGAAGCGCCGGCUAACUACGUGCCAGCAGCCGCGGUAAUACGUAGGGCGCAAGCGUUGUCCGGAAUUAUUGGGCGUAAAGAGCUCGUAGGCGGCUUGUCACGUCGGGUGUGAAAGCUUGGGGCUUAACUCCAGGUCUGCAUUCGAUACGGGCUGGCUAGAGGUAGGUAGGGGAGAACGGAAUUCCUGGUGUAGCGGUGAAAUGCGCAGAUAUCAGGAGGAACACCGGUGGCGAAGGCGGUUCUCUGGGCCUUACCUGACGCUGAGGUGCGAAAGCGUGGGGAGCGAACAGGAUUAGAUACCCUGGUAGUCCACGCUGUAAACGUUGGGCGCUAGGUGUGGGGACCUUCCACGGUUUCCGCGCCGUAGCUAACGCAUUAAGCGCCCCGCCUGGGGAGUACGGCCGCAAGGCUAAAACUCAAAGGAAUUGACGGGGGCCCGCACAAGCGGCGGAGCAUGUUGCUUAAUUCGACGCAACGCGAAGAACCUUACCAAGGCUUGACAUUGCCCGGAAACACUCAGAGAUGGGUGCCUCUUCGGAUCGGGUGACAGGUGGUGCAUGGCUGUCGUCAGCUCGCGUCGUGAGAUGUUGGGUUAAGUCCCGCAACGAGCGCAACCCUCGUUCAAUGUUGUCAGCACGCUCCUUCGGGGGUGGUGGGGACUCAUUGGAGACUGCCGGGGUCAACUCGGAGGAAGGUGGGGAUGACGUCAAGUCAUCAUGCCCCUUAUGUCUUGGGCUGCAAACAUGCUACAAUGGCCGGUACAGAGGGCUGCGAUACCGCAAGGUGGAGCGAAUCCCUAAAAGCCGGUCUCAGUUCGGAUUGGGGUCUGCAACUCGACCCCAUGAAGUCGGAGUCGCUAGUAAUCGCAGAUCAGCAACGCUGCGGUGAAUACGUUCCCGGGCCUUGUACACACCGCCCGUCACGUCACGAAAGUCGGCAACACCCGAAGCCCGUGGCCCAACCAGCUUGCUGGGGGGAGCGGUCGAAGGUGGGGCUGGCGAUUGGGACGAAGUCGUAACAAGGUA
RNAcentral lists this ribosomal RNA (1481 nucleotides) under metagenome. RNAcentral describes it as "bacterial SSU rRNA". It matches the Rfam family "Bacterial small subunit ribosomal RNA". The record is from RNAcentral.